AUGGAGCAAUACGAGCGCGCGGCUGUUGAUCCGCUCGAGGGGCAGACGGAGCAGGGCGGGGAGGAUCCCGCUCCGUCGGCGGCUCUCGCCGGCGCCAAGGAGGGCGAACAGGAGCGCGUCCCCGAGACGCACAAUCCCGUCGGCGCCGCCGCGUCGGAGGGCGCCAAGAAGCAGGAUCUUGAGGUGAUUGAUCGAUGGUGGUUCGGAGCGGCGGGCGACCGAAAGAGCGGAAUGCUCUGUUUCUUGACGUUCUUGUUGGUUCUUUCUUUGGCGCAGGAACCUUCGCCGGAGUCCGAUGAGGCCGCGGCCGCGUCUGCCAACAUCAAGGGCGAAGACCGCGAGGCGUUCGAGGACCCUAUGGAGACUCACUUCGAGUUCCGAUCAGCGGCUGCCGACGCGACGCCGCCGUACAACUCCCUCCGCGCACGGUCAAGGAAGCAGGCCGGGCCGACGAAGUUCGUCGCCGUGGGAGCUCCCGACGGUGCCGGCUCCGAGUCGCCUGUUCUUGGCGCGUCGUCGUCUUCGGACUUCUCUGCGAUGGCCGCGCCCGGCGCCACGGUGGCGAUCGCGCACGCCUCGCCGCCCGACACCAAUCGCCGCCUGCCGUCGCGAAGCAGGAAGCAAUACUCCCCGGAGCGCAUCGCCUCCGCGGGGGCAUCAACUUCGGCGGGCGCACCGGCCGCAGGCGACCCAGCUCCCCCUGCUCGAGGCAGGAAGCAGCCCCGGCCCGAGCACUUCAUCCCGGAGGAGGCGGCAGCUAUGGCCGGCGCCAAAGCUCGCCGGGGCAACAUCGUCCUCGACAGGUUCCUCUCGUCUACUAUGGCCCGCGGCUCCUCGGCUUCGGAUUGGGUGAGGGACGUCACGGCGGAGGACGCGGGCCAGCCCGAGCGCCCGCGCGGCAUCGAGAGCUUCAGGAUCAGGGACGCGAGCCGCCACGCCGCCCGCGCCUGCGGCCUACGCGCCGCGAUCAGCCGCCUCGGAGCCUCGUGCGGCGGCGCAUCGUCGCCAUCCCCGGCGGCGCCAGGAGAACCCGAGGGGAGCGGGACCAGGAGGCUCUACGGCAUCCUCGCCGUUCUCGGCGCUUCUCUUGCGCUCAGCGUGGCGUCCUGCGUGCUGUUCUACAUCGUCGGUCAUAGCAGCGAGGCUGCUCCCUCCGGAGAGAACCAGGACAAGUGA
This 1176-nucleotide ribosomal RNA is filed under the name Triticum aestivum (bread wheat). RNAcentral's name for it is "partial small subunit ribosomal RNA". The record is from RNAcentral. Lineage: Eukaryota; Viridiplantae; Streptophyta; Magnoliopsida; Poales; Poaceae.